CACGCAGGCGGUCAGGCAAGUUGGUGGUGAAAGCCCUCGGCUCAACCGAGGAAUUGCCCCCAAAACUGCUUGACUUGAGUCCCGGAGAGGGUGACGGAAUUCCCAGUGUAGCGAUGAAAUGCGUAGAUACUGGGAGGAACACCAGUGGCGAAGGCGGUCACCUGGACGGGUACUGACGCUCAUGUGCGAAAGCGUGGGGAGCAAACAGGAUUAGAUACCCUGGUAGUCC
This 229-nucleotide ribosomal RNA is filed under the name uncultured bacterium. RNAcentral's name for it is "partial 16S ribosomal RNA". It matches the Rfam family "Bacterial small subunit ribosomal RNA", at positions 568 to 796 of the family's 1533-position model. The record is from RNAcentral.